This 415-nucleotide long non-coding RNA is filed under the name Androctonus crassicauda. Lineage: Eukaryota; Metazoa; Arthropoda; Arachnida; Scorpiones; Buthidae. The record is from RNAcentral.
AUAAAAUAAAAUUCAUAAUAUGAUCGCAUUAAAUAAUUUUCUUCUUGUUUUAGAACUACAAUUAUAUCAUUAUUUAUUUGACAUCCAUUUUUUAUACAAUGUACUGCUAAACCUGAAUUAUAGCACCUAGCUGCUCCAGACAGUCUUGCCUAUUGUGGACAGAAUUACUUACAAGAGAAGAAAUGGAAGCAAACUGCUUCACCAUCUUACUGUCUAGAAAUAUGCCAGCAACUCCAGCCUCCUUUACAUGUGAACCAGAAUUGCCAACUCUACAGUUGGAUGAGAAGCAAUCCCUAGAAGAAAUAUUUCAUGUGGCAAAAACAAACUGGAGGAAACAUAGUCACUACCUGAUUAUUUUCCAAUACAGGUGGAAGGCUAAAUACAAUAAAGUUUUACCUGUUAUCUUGAGGGGAUC